This is a non-coding RNA of Rattus norvegicus (Norway rat), 846 nucleotides long. The record is from RefSeq and is a predicted model, not a curated record. Lineage: Eukaryota; Metazoa; Chordata; Mammalia; Rodentia; Muridae.
AUUUAUCCUAAGACUUCAGUUAAGAAGAAAUGGACAUAAGGUCUCAGUUUGCUUAAUCGAGCUUUGAGUUAGAAUGGAAGUUAUCUCCGAAGGGAGAGACGUUUCAAUAGGUGUAUUAUUUUGUCAAUACUCCUGCCCCAGCUCAAAUGCAGAUGUCUCCCAUGGGCCCGUGUGCUUCAGUACGUGUCUUCCAGCUGGUGGUGCUAUUUGAUUUGGCAGAGAACACCGGAGUGCACCUGAGACCAUCGUGGAUUUGAGAGCAAUUGUGUAUGGGUCGUGCACUUCCGAAAUGCUACGGACGUCCAGAGGGAAACGACGUUGCAGUAUGACCAGGGAAGGGGAAAGAUGCUGCAGCUGAGUCGUUAUGUCGUCUGUCCCACCUCCUAGCUCUGGCCGAGUCCAAACUCAUGAUUCUUUUGCAUCAGCGUCUCACGCUCUAGGAUUGCAGGCCUGUGCCAUCGUGUCUGGAUUUAUUAUAUACUCGUUAGAAAUAAUUGUCUUUUAAUUUAUUCGCACGUAAAUGGCGAUGACCUGAAAAUUGACAUUUUAAAAAGAAACUGUAACACGCAAUCCACAUUCUUUCACCUCUCCAUUGGCCUCUGGUUCUGUCAGAUCUUGGCCGGUUCACGCCAUUAUCGGGAAGAAAAGAAAAAUCCCCAGCCUGUUCAACAGGCACCAGCAGGCUGGAGAAGGAAGAUGGAUAUGUGUUACAUGCAUAUUAAUUUCUCUUCUCUUAUGCGGUCUCAGAAGUGGAAAAAUUCUGUUGUAGUUGAGUGGGUGGUGGCAGCACACCUCUCCACAUCUAAUUUCAUAAAUAUGUGUUUCAAUUACCUUUUGCAGAUGAAA